CCUACGGGAGGCAGCAGUGGGGAAUCUUGCGCAAUGGGCGAAAGCCUGACGCAGCCAUGCCGCGUGAAUGAUGAAGGUCUUAGGAUUGUAAAAUUCUUUCACCAGGGACGAUAAUGACGGUACCCGGAGAAGAAGCCCCGGCUAACUUCGUGCCAGCAGCCGCGGUAAUACGAAGGGGGCUAGCGUUGCUCGGAAUUACUGGGCGUAAAGGGAGCGUAGGCGGAUAGUUUAGUCAGAGGUGAAAGCCCAGGGCUCAACCUUGGAAUUGCCUUUGAUACUGGCUAUCUUGAGUGUGGGAGAGGUAUGUGGAACUCCGAGUGUAGAGGUGAAAUUCGUAGAUAUUCGGAAGAACACCAGUGGCGAAGGCGACAUACUGGCCCAUUACUGACGCUGAGGCUCGAAAGCGUGGGGAGCAAACAGGAUUAGAUACCCUGGUAGUCCACGCUGUAAACGAUGAGUGCUAGUUGUCGGCAUGCAUGCAUGUCGGUGACGCAGCUAACGCAUUAAGCACUCCGCCUGGGGAGUACGGUCGCAAGAUUAAAACUCAAAGGAAUUGACGG
This 560-nucleotide ribosomal RNA is filed under the name uncultured bacterium. RNAcentral describes it as "bacterial SSU rRNA". It matches the Rfam family "Bacterial small subunit ribosomal RNA", at positions 338 to 916 of the family's 1533-position model. The record is from RNAcentral.